RNAcentral lists this ribosomal RNA (497 nucleotides) under uncultured bacterium. RNAcentral describes it as "partial 16S ribosomal RNA". It matches the Rfam family "Bacterial small subunit ribosomal RNA", at positions 28 to 507 of the family's 1533-position model. The record is from RNAcentral.
GAUGAACGCUGGCGGCGUGCCUAAUACAUGCAAGUCGGGCGAACGGACGAGAAGCUUGCUUCUCUGAUGUUAGCGGCGGACGGGUGAGUAACACGUGGAUAACCUACCUAUAAGACUGGGAUAACUUCGGGAAACCGGAGCUAAUACCGGAUAAUAUUUUGAACCGCAUGGUUCAAAAGUGAAAGACGGUCUUGCUGUCACUUAUAGAUGGAUCCGCGCUGCAUUAGCUAGUUGGUAAGGUAACGGCUUACCAAGGCAACGAUGCAUAGCCGACCUGAGAGGGUGAUCGGCCACACUGGAACUGAGACACGGUCCAGAGUCCUACGGGAGGCAGCAGUAGGGAAUCUUCCGCAAUGGGCGAAAGCCUGACGGAGCAACGCCGCGUGAGUUAUGAAGGUCUUCGGAUCGUAAAACUCUGUUAUUAGGGAAGAACAUAUGUGUAAGUAGCUGUGCACAUCUUGACGGUACCUAAUCAGAAAGCCACGGCUAACUACGUG